AUGCCAUCCAACCAUCUCAUCCUCUUUUGCCCCCUUCCCUUCACGCCCUCAGUCUGUCCCAGCAUCAGGGUCUUUUCCAAUGAG
Cervus elaphus (red deer) is the source of this 84-nucleotide long non-coding RNA. RefSeq lists it as uncharacterized. The record is from RefSeq and is a predicted model, not a curated record. The transcript is spliced from 3 exons. Lineage: Eukaryota; Metazoa; Chordata; Mammalia; Artiodactyla; Cervidae.